Molecule: ribosomal RNA, 467 nt
Filed under: uncultured bacterium
Lineage: Bacteria
Description: partial 16S ribosomal RNA
Rfam family: Bacterial small subunit ribosomal RNA
Source: RNAcentral
GACGAACGCUGGCGGCGUGCUUAACACAUGCAAGUCGAACGGAAAGGCCCUGCUUUUGUGGGGUGCUCGAGUGGCGAACGGGUGAGUAACACGUGAGUAACCUGCCCUUGACUUUGGGAUAACUUCAGGAAACUGGGGCUAAUACCGGAUAGGAGCUCCUGCUGCAUGGUGGGGGUUGGAAAGUUUCGGCGGUUGGGGAUGGGCUCGCGGCUUAUCAGCUUGUUGGUGGGGUAGUGGCUUACCAAGGCUUUGACGGGUAGCCGGCCUGAGAGGGUGACCGGCCACAUUGGGACUGAGAUACGGCCCAGACUCCUACGGGAGGAGCAGUGGGGAAUAUUGCACAAUGGGCGGAAGCCUGAUGCAGCAACGCCGCGUGCGGGAUGACGGCCUUCGGGUUGUAAACCGCUUUCGCCUGUGACGAAGCGUGAGUGACGGUAAUGGGUAAAGAAGCACCGGCUAACUACGUG